Molecule: ribosomal RNA, 492 nt
Filed under: uncultured bacterium
Lineage: Bacteria
Description: partial 16S ribosomal RNA
Rfam family: Bacterial small subunit ribosomal RNA
Source: RNAcentral
AGUGAACGCUGGCGGUAUGCCUAACACAUGCAAGUCGAACGGCAGCACAGUAAGAGCUUGCUCUUACGGGUGGCGAGUGGCGGACGGGUGAGGAAUACAUCGGAAUCUACUUUUUCGUGGGUGAUAACGUAGGGAAACUUACGCUAAUACCGCAUACGACCUACGGGUGAAAGCAGGGGAGCUUCGGACCUUUCGCGAUUGAAUGAGCCGAUGUCGGAUUAGCUAGUUGGCGGGGUAAAGGCCCACCAAGGCGACGAUCCGUAGCUGGUCUGAGAGGAUGAUCAGCCACACUGGAACUGAGACACGGUCCAGACUCCUACGGGAGGCAGCAGUGGGGAAUAUUGGACAAUGGGCGCAAGCCUGAUCCAGCCAUACCGCGUGAGUGAAGAAGGCCUUCGGGUUGUAAAGCCCUUUUGUUGGGAAAGAAAAGAAGCAGGUUAAUCCCCCGCUGUUCUGACGGUACCCAAAGAAUAAGCACCGGCUAACUUCGUG